GAUGAACGCUGGCGGCGUGCUUAACACAUGCAAGUCGAACGGAAAGGCCCCUGCUUGCUGGGGUACUCGAGUGGCGAACGGGUGAGUAACACGUGGGUGAUCUGCCCUGCACUUCGGGAUAAGCCUGGGAAACUGGGUCUAAUACCGGAUAGGACGAUGGUUUGGAUGCCAUUGUGGAAAGUUUUUCGGUGUGGGAUGAGCUCGCGGCCUAUCAGCUUGUUGGUGGGGUAAUGGCCUACCAAGGCGUCGACGGGGAGCCGGCCUGGGAGGGUGGACGGCGACAUUGGGACUGGGAUACGGCCCAGACUCCUACGGGGGGCAGCAGUGGGGAAUAUGGCACAAUGGGCGCAAGCCUGAUGCAGCGACGCCGCGUGGGGGAUGAUGGCCUUCGGGUUGUAAACUCCUUUCGCUAGGGACGAAGCGCAAGUGACGGUACCUGGAGAAGAAGCACCGGCUAACUACGUG
Molecule: ribosomal RNA, 465 nt
Filed under: uncultured bacterium
Lineage: Bacteria
Description: partial 16S ribosomal RNA
Rfam family: Bacterial small subunit ribosomal RNA
Source: RNAcentral